UGCAGUCGAACGAUGAAGCCCUUCGGGGUGGAUUAGUGGCGAACGGGUGAGUAACACGUGGGCAAUCUGCCCUUCACUCUGGGACAAGCCCUGGAAACGGGGUCUAAUACCGGAUAACACUCCUGCCUGCAUGGGCGGGGGUUAAAAGCUCCGGCGGUGAAGGAUGAGCCCGCGGCCUAUCAGCUUGUUGGUGGGGUAAUGGCCCACCAAGGCGACGACGGGUAGCCGGCCUGAGAGGGCGACCGGCCACACUGGGACUGAGACACGGCCCAGACUCCUACGGGAGGCAGCAGUGGGGAAUAUUGCACAAUGGGCGAAAGCCUGAUGCAGCGACGCCGCGUGAGGGAUGACGGCCUUCGGGUUGUAAACCUCUUUCAGCAGGGAAGAAGCGAAAGUGACGGUACCUGCAGAAGAAGCGCCGGCUAACUACGUGCCAGCAGCCGCGGUAAUACGUAGGGCGCAAGCGUUGUCCGGAAUUAUUGGGCGUAAAGAGCUCGUAGGCGGCUUGUCACGUCGGAUGUGAAAGCCCGAGGCUUAACCUCGGGUCUGCAUUCGAUACGGGCUAGCUAGAGUGUGGUAGGGGAGAUCGGAAUUCCU
This 597-nucleotide ribosomal RNA is filed under the name Streptomyces sp. YIM 65589. Its description in RNAcentral is "bacterial SSU rRNA". It matches the Rfam family "Bacterial small subunit ribosomal RNA", at positions 56 to 671 of the family's 1533-position model. The record is from RNAcentral. Lineage: Bacteria; Bacillati; Actinomycetota; Actinomycetes; Kitasatosporales; Streptomycetaceae.